CGCGUAGGUUGAUAUUUAAGUUAGAUGUGAAAUGUCUCGGCUUAACCAAGAGAAGUCAUUUAAUACUGGGUAUCUAGAGUGUAGGAGAGGGAAGUAGAAUUUCCGGUGUAGCGGUGAAAUGCGUAGAUAUCGGAAGGAAUACCAGUGGCGAAGGCGGCUUUCUGGCCUAACACUGACACUGAUGCGCGAAAGCGUGGGUAGCAAACA
Molecule: ribosomal RNA, 207 nt
Filed under: uncultured bacterium
Lineage: Bacteria
Description: partial 16S ribosomal RNA
Rfam family: Bacterial small subunit ribosomal RNA
Source: RNAcentral